Molecule: ribosomal RNA, 538 nt
Filed under: Candidozyma auris
Lineage: Eukaryota; Fungi; Ascomycota; Pichiomycetes; Serinales; Metschnikowiaceae
Description: partial large subunit ribosomal RNA
Rfam family: Eukaryotic large subunit ribosomal RNA
Source: RNAcentral
GGAGGAAAAGAAACCAACAGGGAUUGCCUCAGUAACGGCGAGUGAAGCGGCAAGAGCUCAACUUUGGAAUCGCUCCGGCGAGUUGUAGUCUGGAGGUGGCCACCACGAGGUGUUUUAGCAGCAGGCAAGUCCUUUGGAACAAGGCGCCAGCGAGGGUGACAGCCCCGUACCUGCUUUUGCUAGUGCUUCCUGUGGCCCACCGACGAGUCGAGUUGUUUGGGAAUGCAGCUCUAAGUGGGUGGUAAAUUCCAUCUAAGGCUAAAUAUUGGCGAGAGACCGAUAGCGAACAAGUACAGUGAUGGAAAGAUGAAAAGCACUUUGAAAAGAGAGUGAAACAGUACGUGAAAUUGUUGAAAGGGAAGGGCUUGCACCCAGACACGGUUUUACCGGGCCAGCAUCAAGUAGAACGGGGUUAAAAGACCUGGGGAAUGUAGCUACCUCUUGGUAGUGUUAUAGCCCUUGGGUGAUGACCCCCGUUUUGCUUGAGGACAGCGGUCUCUAGGAUGCUGGCGCAAUGGUUGCAAGCCACCCGUCUUGA